AGGAAAUUGGAAUCGACGCGAGGCCUGCCCACUGAUUAUUUGAAGGGCCGCGGUAUUAUGACCGUGCAAAGGUAGCAUAAUCAUUAGUCUUUUAAUUGAGGGCUGGAAUGAAUGGUUUGACGAAGUAUUAACUGUCUUAUUAUUAAAAAUAGAAGUUAACUUUUAAGUUAAAAGGCUUAAGUGUUUAUAGAGGACGAGAAGACCCUAUAAAGUUUUAUAUACAUUUAUAAUAAUUUAUAUUUAGUUGUAUAACUUAAUUGUUAGAAGUAUAUUUUGUUGGGGUGACAUAAAGAUAUACUAAACUCUUUAUUUAAUAUACAUUGAUUUAUGGAUGUUUGAUCCAUUCUUAGUGAUCAUAAGAUUAAGUUACUUUAGGGAUAACAGCGUAAUUUUUUUUGAGAGUUCGUAUCAACAAAAAAGAUUGCGACCUCGAUGUUGGAUUAAGGAAAUAGUUAGGUGUAGCAGUUUAAUUAAUAGGUCUGUUCGACCUUUAAAUCCUUACGUGAUCUGAUUUCAGACCGGAUG
Molecule: ribosomal RNA, 525 nt
Filed under: Phaneroptera falcata (sickle-bearing bush cricket)
Lineage: Eukaryota; Metazoa; Arthropoda; Insecta; Orthoptera; Tettigoniidae
Description: partial 16S large subunit ribosomal RNA
Rfam family: Bacterial large subunit ribosomal RNA
Source: RNAcentral